RNAcentral lists this ribosomal RNA (442 nucleotides) under uncultured bacterium. RNAcentral's name for it is "partial 16S ribosomal RNA". It matches the Rfam family "Bacterial small subunit ribosomal RNA", at positions 338 to 795 of the family's 1533-position model. The record is from RNAcentral.
CCUACGGGAGGCAGCAGUGGGGAAUAUUGGGCAAUGGGCGCAAGCCUGACCCAGCAACGCCGCGUGAAGGAAGAAGGCUUUCGGGUUGUAAACUUCUUUUGACAGGGAAGAGCAGAAGACGGUACCUGUCGAAUAAGCCACGGCUAACGACGUGCCAGCAGCCGCGGUAAUACGUAGGUGGCAAGCGUUGUCCGGAUUUACUGGGGGUAAAGGGCGUGUAGCCGGGCUGACAAGUCAGAUGUGAAAUCCGGGGGCUCAACCCCCGAACUGCAUUUGAAACUGUUGGUCUUGAGUAUCGGAGCGGCAGGCGGAAUUCCUAGUGUAGCGGUGAAAUGCGUAGAUAUUAGGAGGAACACCAGUGGCGAAGGCGGCCUGCUGGACGACAACUGACGGUGAGGCGCGAAAGCGUGGGGAGCAAACAGGAUUAGAUACCCUUGUAGUC